AAAAACAAACAAAUUAUUAAAUAAAUGCAUUCUUUAUAAGUUUCAAACAUAAUUUAGAAAGUUACAAGUUUGAAAAGGUUGACUUUUCCAAACAGUGUUCAUUAUGUAUAUUGUUAUUUUUUGUUUGUUUUUAAUUUGUCAAGUCAUCCAUAUUAAAAAAUUAAAAAUGUUUUCUCCUCUGUUGAGGCAUAUGGUAGAAAGAUUUGAUAUCGAAUGUACUAAAUUUGGGUCCGACGUCCGUGAACUUUUCAAUCUUUGAACUUCUAUUUGGGAACCACGUAAAAGGAUCAAUAUAUGAAUCUGUUAUUUUUCUCCAUUGUUGAAGCAUAUGAUAAAAAGAUCAUAACA
RNAcentral lists this long non-coding RNA (348 nucleotides) under Mytilus galloprovincialis (Mediterranean mussel). Lineage: Eukaryota; Metazoa; Mollusca; Bivalvia; Mytilida; Mytilidae. The record is from RNAcentral.